RNAcentral lists this ribosomal RNA (492 nucleotides) under uncultured bacterium. RNAcentral's name for it is "partial 16S ribosomal RNA". It matches the Rfam family "Bacterial small subunit ribosomal RNA", at positions 29 to 507 of the family's 1533-position model. The record is from RNAcentral.
AGUGAACGCUGGCGGUAGGCCUAACACAUGCAAGUCGAACGGCAGCACAGUAAGAGUUUGCUCUUACGGGUGGCGAGUGGCGGACGGGUGAGGAAUACAUCGGAAUCUACUUUUUCGGGGGGGAUAACGUAGGGAAACUUACGCUAAUACCGCAUACGACCUACGGGUGAAAGCAGGGGAUCUUCGGACCUUGCGCGAUUGAAUGAGCCGAUGUCGGAUUAGCUAGUUGGCGGGGUAAAGGCCCACCAAGGCGACGAUCCGUAGCUGGUCUGAGAGGAUGAUCAGCCACACUGGAACUGAGACACGGUCCAGACUCCUACGGGAGGCAGCAGUGGGGAAUAUUGGACAAUGGGCGCAAGCCUGAUCCAGCCAUACCGCGUGGGUGAAGAAGGCCUUCGGGUUGUAAAGCACUUUUGUUGGGAAAGAAAAGCAGCAGGUUAAUACCCCGCUGUUCUGACGGUACCCAAAGAAUAAGCACCGGCUAACUUCGUG